GGGAAAACCAUGAAAUUUGUUUGCUUAUAAGUUGAAAUUUUCAAGUAGAAGGCUAAAAAGGGGAGGAGCAAAUUGAAUAGGUAGAAUCGGUGUUGGGAACCUUGGUGAGUUUUCCUUGAACUUUUAUUUGAUAAUUGUUGAAACUGUCAAAUUGCUGUCCGAAUUUUACCUUGUUGGUAUUGUUAAUUGCUGCCCUGUUUAUGCUGUCUAAAUAUUGUAUUAUUGAUGCUGUCCGAAUCAGCCUCCGAAUGUGAUAUGUUACAGCAAUUAAGCCAAGUGUUGCGAGUCCUCUUAGGCUGCCCACAACGCAACCUUUCAAUACUAAUGUUACCAUGAAUUUACCUUCGAUUGAUGGUGUGGUGUAUAUACAUUUUAGAAAGAAAGAUGUUGUUGUUUAGUUGAAUUUUCAUUUGAUAAAUGUUCAUUCGGUCAAAUGGGAGAAGAAUGAGAUGAAUUUAAAUGUUUUGGUUUAUUAUUUUAGUUGCUAAAUGAAGAAAAAUCGGUUAACAAGGGAGUACUAAGGCCGAAUAUGAUUUUGAAUAUUAGUGGUGUAGUUGCCGAAUUUGAACUAUGAAGUUAUUGAGUAAUGUGUGUGUUUUAAGUGAUAGAAUUCAGUGAAUGCUUGGAAUGUGAUAUGUAUGAAUUAUGUGUUAAAUUAAGGUUUGCUAAGCUAGCUAUUAAGAUGAAGUGAAAAUGUUAGUAAUUGAUUGCUAGUGUAUAUAUGUGUACUAGCCGAGCUUUGAAUUUAAAUAAUGGUUGGAGCACCGUGUGUUGUAAUGAGAUUAUUUGAGUGAAAUCAUAGAUAUUUAUAUGAUGAAUUCAAUUGUGGAUAUACAUGCUUAAAUAAGAUGCAUACAUGAAUGAAUAGAUAGCUUGGUGCUGUAUGUAUUCGGUCAUAAAGGUGCACAUGAGGAAAUGUUAGAUUAAUUGUAUUAAAUUGCUAAAUGUGAUUAAAAAUGCGUAUGACCAUUUUGUGUUUGAGCUAUAGGUGGCCAUAUGACCUAUCAAACUCCUUGUCAUAUUCGGCCAUAAGCUAGCAUAAUGAGACUUUAAUAAGUUAAAUUUGUUUGAAUUAGCUCAAGAGCUUAGAGGACCAAAGUUGGAUAAGGGAAGGGAAAAAGUGAUCGAAUAGCCGCCGAAAUUGUUCGACCACAUCCGAGGUAAGUUUUAAGUGACUAAAUGUUGAGUAAAUUCAACUAUAAUAGGAUAUAAUGAGUUGAUUUAAUAAGAUAUGAUGUGGCCAUGAUAUGUCUUAAACUCAAAUGGUAAGUUCCUAAGUGUUUGGACUUGGAAAUUUAAGAGCAAAUUGUAAUAAUUUGCUUAGGACAGCCGCAGUAAUGUGAUUUUAGAAAAUCACUAUAAAUGUUUGGUGUGGAAUUAUAGGCUGAAUAAAAUAUACAAUCAAAGCUUAAUUAGUCUAGUUUCUUAUAAAAGAGACCGUGUAAGCAAAGGAAUUUCCUAUAAAGAGAUAUUUAAAGUUGUGUGAGACGGUGUCAGAAUGACUCCGAAAUCCCCUGUUCUGUUUUAAGAAAAUCAC
RNAcentral lists this long non-coding RNA (1537 nucleotides) under Gossypium barbadense (sea-island cotton). Its description in RNAcentral is "long non-coding RNA (GBAR_LNC006750)". The record is from RNAcentral. Lineage: Eukaryota; Viridiplantae; Streptophyta; Magnoliopsida; Malvales; Malvaceae.